GUGAGGAAUUUUGGACAAUGGGGGCAACCCUGAUCCAGCGACGCCGCGUGAAGGAUGAAGGUCUUCGGAUUGUAAACUUCUUUUAUCUGGGACUAAGAAACUCAUGGAAACAUGGGGAGUGAAUGUACCAGAGGAAUAAGCCACGGCUAACUUCGUGCCAGCAGCCGCGGUAAUACGAAGGUGGCAAGCGUUACUCGGAAUUACUAGGCGUAAAGGGCAGGUAGGUGGUUUGGUAAGUCUGUUGUGAAAGCUCCCGGCUUAACUGGGAGAGGUCAAUAGAUACUGCCGGACUUGAGUAUAGGAGAGGUUACUGGAAUUCCCGGUGUAGCGGUGAAAUGCGCAGAGAUCGGGAGGAACACCAAUGGCGAAAGCAGGUAACUGGACUAUUACUGACGCUAAGCUGCGAAAGCUAGGGGAGCAAACAGGAUUAGAAACCCUAGUAGUCC
Molecule: ribosomal RNA, 446 nt
Filed under: uncultured bacterium
Lineage: Bacteria
Description: bacterial SSU rRNA
Rfam family: Bacterial small subunit ribosomal RNA
Source: RNAcentral